UUUAAUAAAAUAAAUAAUUAAAAAAACUGAAAAUUCAUCAGGAUCUAGUAAGAAUUAUAGCCCAAAACCUGAAAAGCCCUUCAUUCUUCAUCACCUUCACGUGUUCGUGUUCUUUCGAGACCUAAAACAACGAUUUUGCGUUUAUACAGUCAAUGGCGUCCGAGAGGAUUGGAUGACUGAAAUUGAGAUGAAGAAUCUGUUUGUUUGUUUCCACUCCUGUCGUUUAGCCUUCUACUCUAUUUAACAGAAACGGUCCGAGUUACAGAUUCAACGUCAUUAUCGCCUUCUUAACUCCAUACACCGACAUGAAGUACGAUCUAACAUUGAUUGAUCUUCCAACUCUUAUGCCAGAAGAUACAGUUUUGGAUGUUCGCAAAUUCUUAGUUGGAGAAGUUUUUAAAGGAACAUUCUUUGGUGGUCUUUUAUGGCGAGAACUCAAUAUGAAUACAGCAUAGGACAAGUUGUUCUCUUAGCGGAUACGACUUGGUAUCCUACUGAGCCUCUGGUUUCUUUGUCAAAUUCAGACAACAACAUAGAAUGUGCUUUUUCUCUCUAAAACAGGCUGCAAGGCAACUUGAAUUUCUGGUGGGAAAGAAAUCUGGUGGUCCAAACACUUGCAGCCUCUAGGAAUAGCGCAGCACCAUGAUUGCGUCACUGGAACUGCCAAGCAGUAUGUAGCAAAUGAUUAUGCCAAAAGACUAGCACUUGCUGCUUCUGAGGUAACAAACGUACUAUUCAAAACUUUUCUAGGUAAUUGAUUUCAUCGUUUAUUCCCUAGGCAGAAUCAGUGGUGAAUUAUGCGCUGGCACACUUACUGAGCAAGGCACGUACAAAGCCUGACAUAUCAUUAACCCACGUUCAAAGAUCCUUCAUCAUCAUUCUUUCAUGGUUAUGUGGGAUUAGUAUAAACGUGGUUGUGGGAAGUGAAGUAACCACUCUCAAAAGCCUUGAAGAAAGCAGCAGCAUUAUCAUCACAGAGAUGCCAAUCAAUAUUUCGAGAUCUUAUAACUACUCAGGGCUCCUGCGAUCUGAAGGAUACCAUCAAAGUUCGUUUGUUGGCUCUUAUGCUUCAAAUUAUGUUACAGGAGCUUCUCCGUAGCGAUCAAAAGUUUGUGUUAAGCUACAGAAGAUGAUCACUGGUCUACAAAUCUGCGUUUUUUUAAGUGGAGACAAAGGGAGUUGAAUUUCAUAGAGGCAUUUUAUAUCGUUCUCUCAUUCCUAAUCAUCCAAGCAAAUUUAAUAAAAACUUCGCCUCUCUCUCUAAACACCAAAAUGAGUUAAAAUAAUGUGUAAAACAAACAACUUCCACAUAGGAUUAAACAAUUGUAGUGGAUUAUUUUUCUAUUUACAUUAUAAAAUAAUUAUUGUUGUGAUAAAUGUUUUUCAAAUUCAUAAAAUUCAACCCAAAGAAAAAAUGAAUGAAUCCAAUAGAAGUUUAUCCUUUUCCUCACCAAAUUCGAAUUCAAAAUUUUUUUUGGUGACAUUUGAUAGAUUAAAUAUUAAAUAGAAAACAAUAAUUUUUGAAAAAUAUAUUUUUCGUAACAUUUGAUAGAAAACAAUUACUGUUGCGAUAUACUUUUUUCAAAUUCAUCAAAUUCAAGCCAAAGAAAAAAUGAAUUAAUCUAAUUGAAGUUUACUCUUUUUCUCACCAAAUUCAAAUUUAAUAAAUUAAUUUUUUGUAACAUUUGUUAAAUUAAAUAUUUAAUUGGAAACCACAACUAAAAAAUAACAAACAAUCAAAAAUUAAUUUUUUAAAAAUUAUGUAUAAUAAAAUAUAAAUAGCUAGGACAAUUACAAUUUAAUGAAAUACACAACAUAACAAAAUUACAUAAUAUAACACAAAUAUAUAAUUUAACAAAAGUAUAUAGGCGCACCUGACUGGAGAAAACACACACAAUGUAUUAGUUCAGGCAACCGAUAAAUCGUCAUAAGCCUCAAUAACAACCGGUGAAAACGACUAUUAUUCUGUUUAGACACCGGAAGCAAUGUCAACUUGAGAAUAAACGGUUCUGAAUGAACCAUUUAAAACAGCCAAGGAGAAAUAUUUUCAUUCAGAAUCAGUUUUUUGGGUGUCACUACUCACACCUUAAGCGACACGAGAGGCUAAAUAAAAUGAAAGCUUAGAAGCACUAGAAUUAUUUAGUCAAAACUUAAAAAAAAAAAACAUAUUAGUCAUAACCUUGCCGGGUGA
Molecule: long non-coding RNA, 2191 nt
Organism: Brassica napus (rape)
Lineage: Eukaryota; Viridiplantae; Streptophyta; Magnoliopsida; Brassicales; Brassicaceae
Exons: 5
Source: RefSeq, a predicted model, not a curated record